Cicer arietinum (chickpea) is the source of this 737-nucleotide long non-coding RNA. RefSeq lists it as uncharacterized. Lineage: Eukaryota; Viridiplantae; Streptophyta; Magnoliopsida; Fabales; Fabaceae. The record is from RefSeq and is a predicted model, not a curated record.
UAUACCUUUUUGAGCAAACAGCCAAAAAAAAAAAAACACUCUCGAUCUCUCAAUUUUAUCUUUCCCGUGUUCUGAACUUCAAAAAACCCUUAACUGGACUCAUUGCUUGUGCGAGUUCAACCCUAAACUUUCAAUAAUCGACCAAAUCACAUUGAAGAGAACAACAACAAUAAGGAAAAACUCCAAAACAAUUGGAGCAAGAGGUGAAGACUAAAGAGUUGGGAAAGUAGAUAACUACUCCAAAUCAACUCAAAUUGAAGGGGAGAACUUCCAUAGAAGACUAUGAGUUCUUUUUAGAACUAUUUUUACAUUUAAUGAGGGUUAUGAGUUUCUAAUACCAUUCUUUCUACUGUUUUAAAUGAUCUCAUGGAUUUAAUUUUGGUUUUUUUUUUCUUCUCAAACCUGAGAUUGAGAGAAAUUUUUUAUUUUAGCAUGUAGGAAAUGUUUGUGAUCGAAAUUGCACUAAACCGUUUUCGGAAAUCAUGCAUUAUGCAUAUGUGAUGUUUAUGAAUCUGUGAAGAGCCAACUUCUAGUAUAGUUUAGAAAUGAAAAGUUUAGGGCAAGGGUAGCAAUCUGAAUGAGUAAUGGACAACAAAGAAAAUACUCAUUCAGAAGAGUUAGAUGCAGUGAGACUAAAAAGUUAGGCAAAAUCUUGACAGUACUUUUAUUCAUUCCUAGUUGUUAGAAAUUAGUGUAAAUUCGUUUUAGUAAUUGAGAUUAUUUGAUAAUUAUGGUUA